GGGGGCAUAACUCAGCUAGGUAGAGUAUCAGUCCGAUAAACUGACUGUCAGAAGUUCGACUCUUCUUGCCCCUACCA
RNAcentral lists this transfer RNA (77 nucleotides) under Promethearchaeota archaeon. RNAcentral's name for it is "Candidatus Lokiarchaeota archaeon tRNA-Ile". It matches the Rfam family "tRNA". Rfam says of the family: Transfer RNA (tRNA) molecules are approximately 80 nucleotides in length. Their secondary structure includes four short double-helical elements and three loops (D, anti-codon, and T loops). Further hydrogen bonds mediate the characteristic L-shaped molecular structure. tRNAs have two regions of fundamental functional importance: the anti-codon, which is responsible for specific mRNA codon recognition, and the 3' end, to which the tRNAs corresponding amino acid is attached (by aminoacyl-tRNA synthetases). tRNAs cope with the degeneracy of the genetic code in two manners: having more than one tRNA (with a specific anti-codon) for a particular amino acid; and 'wobble' base-pairing, i.e. permitting non-standard base-pairing at the 3rd anti-codon position. The record is from RNAcentral. Lineage: Archaea; Promethearchaeati; Promethearchaeota.